Molecule: ribosomal RNA, 422 nt
Filed under: uncultured bacterium
Lineage: Bacteria
Description: bacterial SSU rRNA
Rfam family: Bacterial small subunit ribosomal RNA
Source: RNAcentral
UAAGGAAUAUUGGUCAAUGGACGCAAGUCUGAACCAGCCAUGCCGCGUGGAGGAUGAAGGCCCUCUGGGUUGUAAACUUCUUUUAUAUGGGACGAAAAAGGGUCUUUCUAGAUCAACUGACGGUACCAUGUGAAUAAGCACCGGCUAACUCCGUGCCAGCAGCCGCGGUAAUACGGAGGGUGCAAGCGUUAUCCGGAUUCACUGGGUUUAAAGGGUGCGUAGGUGGGUUGGUAAGUCAGUGGUGAAAUCUCCGAGCUUAACUUGGAAACUGCCAUUGAUACUAUCAGUCUUGAAUAUUGUGGAGGUCAGCGGAAUAUGUCAUGUAGCGGUGAAAUGCUUAGAUAUGACAUAGAACACCAAUUGCGAAGGCAAUCCCCUGGACCUGUACUGACGCUCAUGCACGAAAGCGUGGGGAGCAAACA